AUUUUAUUAAACAUAAUAUGGGUUUAUACUUCUGGUUUUGUCUGAGCAAAACAUGAAUCUUGUGAAUUUCCUUAUAAUUUAGGAGUUGAUGGCAUUCGGUUUCUAUUUUUGAUAAUUUAACUUGGAGUCUCACAUAUAGGGAAUGUCCCUUUUCUUUUUUAGAUUUGCCCUCAUAGAAUUUCUACUUUAGGGUUCUGAGUAAUUUCUUAUUUAGGAGUUUUUUAAUGUUCACUAGGCAAUUUUCACAUCUGGAGAUUGUUUUGUCAGAAAAUUUCAUAGUGAGGACUGAAGAGUACCAACAAGUUUAAUUGGACAUGAAAGAGCAGAUGAUUGUUUAUAAAAACGUAUGUAGUUAUGCCUGGGACCAUUAUCAAGAAGCUAAGCCAAGGAAAAGAGUUGUUGGUUAGUUGCAUUAGUUAGCUGAUCAGUAGUUAGGGGCAUAUACAUGUUGGCAAAUCAAACAAAAAUGGCUUAGGCCAUUUGGUUAAUGGAAAGUCUAGUUUCAAGCCUAGUUCAGCCUGUAGCUUGCCAGUUUGAUAUUCACACUCUUUGGGUCCAUAAAUCUUAACACUUUUAUCAAAAGAACUAGGACUUGUAGUUCAUGAAUCUUGAAAUCAUGUAUUGUCUAGAUUAGGUAAAACAUGUGAAUGGAAUCUUGAUCUUGACAUGUUAGGUGCUCCCCUUCUAUGAUAUAGUGAGUGAAUUUGUUCAAGCUUGCAUGCAGUUAAUGAUAGCAAUUAAGAGUUUAGAAUAGAUAAAAGGGGAAUGCAUAAUGUAUGGUGUGAUACGAUCUCAUACACAAUAGUCAAUACAUUGCCUGCAUCUAGGGAUAUUCUUCUAAUCUAAUUUGAGUUAGAUGAACUGCUUUAAGGUUUUUUUGACUUGAUCAAGUAUUCAUGAGAAUUCUUGCUAGGAAAUUUCUUGGUCAUCCAGUGCUUGGCAUUUUCACUUUACCUACUACUGGUGUGCUACUGCCUAGCAGCAUUCUUUUUCUUCAUACCAUAACUUACAUUCUACUUGUUAGAACUAAUAAUGUAAAAAAUAAUAAGGAAUAAAUAAAAAUAGAAAUAGAGUGCUCUUAUCAAUUAUCAUUGUCAAAAUGCCUUGUGAUCUUCAACCAAUUCUGCACUUCACUAUAAGUGCUCUAGCUUUUUUCUGGUAUGAGAUGAAAUUAUAGUUAAAUUUUAUAGAAUGAAUUAAGAACUAGAGAAAAAAAAUUUUCUCAAUUCUUUUUUCUUCUCUGAAGAAGUUCUGGAAAUUUAUAUAAUCCAUCUUGUUGAUUUAGAGAAGAGAAUUCAAGAAAGAAUCUGAAUAUUAUUGAGUAAUCAACUGAUUUCUUCAGUACAGGUAUUCCUCCUUUUAUACCACCCACUACACUAACUUGACUGCUCACUUAGACUCUUCUGCAUAUUCUGACAUUGGUCUGUGUUAUUAUCUACAUGUAUGUAUUUUCUUUUGGAAUAUUUUCAUUACUUUUCAUUGUUGUUUCAGAGAAAAUUAUGGUUGUGAGGUU
This 1513-nucleotide unclassified non-coding RNA is filed under the name Hevea brasiliensis (rubber tree). The record is from RNAcentral. Lineage: Eukaryota; Viridiplantae; Streptophyta; Magnoliopsida; Malpighiales; Euphorbiaceae.